UCAUAUCUCAUGUAGUUAAUAUGUUACGUGAUGACAGGUCAGUAUUCAUAUCUCAUGUAGUUAAUAUGUUACGUGAUGACAGGUCAGUAUUAUUAUUUCAUGUAGUUAAUAUGUUACGUGAUGACAGGUCAGUAUUCAUAUCUCAUGUAGUUAAUAUGUUACGUGAUGACAGGUCAGUAUUAUUAUCUCAUGUAGUUAAUAUGUUACGUGAUGACAGGUCAGUAUUCAUAUCUCAUGUAGUUAAUAUGUUACGUGAUGACAGGUCAGUAUUAUUAUCUCAUGUAGUUAAUAUGUUACGUGAUGACAGGUCAGUAUUCAUAUCUCAUGUAGUUAAUAUGUUACGUGAUGACAGGUCAGUAUUAUUAUCUCAUGUAGUUAAUAUGUUACGUGAUGACAGGUCAGUAUUAUUAUCUCAUGUUGUUAAUAUGUUACGUGAUGACAGGUCAGUAUUCAUAUCUCAUGUAGUUAAUAUGUUACGUGAUGACAGGUCAGUAUUAUUAUCUCAUGUAGUUAAUAUGUUACGUGA
Oncorhynchus keta (chum salmon) is the source of this 526-nucleotide long non-coding RNA. RefSeq lists it as uncharacterized. NCBI's taxonomy places the organism in Eukaryota, Metazoa, Chordata, Actinopteri, Salmoniformes, Salmonidae. The record is from RefSeq and is a predicted model, not a curated record. The transcript has 3 exons.